GAAAACCGCAGCGGCUUAUCUGC
Molecule: non-coding RNA, 23 nt
Filed under: Arabidopsis thaliana (thale cress)
Lineage: Eukaryota; Viridiplantae; Streptophyta; Magnoliopsida; Brassicales; Brassicaceae
Source: RNAcentral